This 776-nucleotide ribosomal RNA is filed under the name uncultured Neocallimastigales. RNAcentral's name for it is "partial large subunit ribosomal RNA". It matches the Rfam family "Eukaryotic large subunit ribosomal RNA", at positions 22 to 635 of the family's 3401-position model. Lineage: Eukaryota; Fungi; Neocallimastigomycota; Neocallimastigomycetes; Neocallimastigales. The record is from RNAcentral.
UGUGUAUCAGUACAUGGCAUAUCAAUAAGCGGAGGAAAAGAAACUAACAAGGAUUCCCUUAGUAACGGCGAGUGAAGCGGGAAGAGCUCAAAUUUGAAAUCUUCAAGGUUUUACCUUGACGAAUUGUAGUUUAAAGAAGUGUUUUCUGUUGGAGUCUUGGCUAAAAGUUCUUUGGAAUAGGACAUCAUAGAGGGUGAGAAUCCCGUAUUUGGUCAUUCCUCCUAGCGUUGUGAUACACUUUCAACGAGUCGGAUUGUUUGGGAAUGCAGUCCAAAAUGGGAUGGUAAAUUUCAUCUAAAGCUAAAUAUUGGCGAGAGACCGAUAGCGAACAAGUACCGUGAGGGAAAGAUGAAAAGAACUUUGAAAAGAGAGUUAAACAGUACGUGAAAUUGUCAAAAGGGAAGCGUUUGACACCAGUGUUGUUUUUCCGAAAAUCAAUUACGAAUGUUUUGUUUUUAAGAAGUUAUGACUUCAUCGGCUUGCUUCUUUCUUUACGAAACUUUCUUAAUGCACUUUUCGGUUAACAAGUCAACAUCAAUUUCUUUUGUUGUAAAAGGGUAUGAGGAAGGUGGCUUUCUUUUCGGAGAAAGUGUUUAUAGCCUUGUGCCUCUGCAAUCGGAGAGAUUGAGGUCUGCAGCGUAGAUCCUUCGGGGUUAGAUACAUUUGUGCUAAGUUAUAGCUUUUCAUAGACAACUUGUUGAUUAUGUUUAGUCUUGUAGCUUACUCGCUUAUGCUAUUUUACCUACGCUUAGGAUGUUGACAGCAGUAUAGACUGU